CGGCACGGGUGAGUAACACGUAUGGAACCUGCCCUAUGCAGGGGGAUAAGCGGAAGAAAUUCCGUCUAAUACCGCAUAACACCAUUUGGAGACAUCUCCAGGUGGUCAAAGGAGGCGACUCCGGCAUAGGAUGGCCAUGCGUCGCAUUAGCUAGUCGGCGGGGUAACGGCCCACCGAGGCGACGAUGCGUAGGGGUUCUGAGAGGAAGGUCCCCCACACUGGUACUGAGGCACGGACCAGACUCCUACGGGAGGCAGCAG
RNAcentral lists this ribosomal RNA (260 nucleotides) under uncultured bacterium. Its description in RNAcentral is "partial 16S ribosomal RNA". It matches the Rfam family "Bacterial small subunit ribosomal RNA", at positions 98 to 354 of the family's 1533-position model. The record is from RNAcentral.